Molecule: ribosomal RNA, 205 nt
Filed under: Globigerinita glutinata
Lineage: Eukaryota; Foraminifera; Rotaliida; Globigerinitidae
Description: partial 18S ribosomal RNA
Rfam family: Eukaryotic small subunit ribosomal RNA
Source: RNAcentral
AUUUGACUCAACGCGGGAAAUCUUACCGGGUCCGGACACACUGAGGAUUGACAGGUAUUAUAUAGCACGCACUUCGGUGUGUGUCUAUUGUUAAAUAUGCUAGUCCUUUCAUGAUUAUGUGAUAGGUGGUGCAUGGCCGUUCUUAGUUCGUGGAGUGAUCUGUCUGCUUAAUUGCGUUUCAAUAAGGAUCUAUAUUCUUUACGUG